CUUCUCCAGUGGCCAGAGCUAGCUGGGCCAAGUGGCAGGCGGCCAGAGGAAAGCUUGGGCCAGGACUGCAGAUUCCACAGGGCAGAGGUCAAGGUGUCAGAGGCGCUGGUUCCUUCCACAGGCUCUGCAGGGAAAAGCCACCUCGUGGCUUCGAGGGGCCGCCUGUGUUCCUCGGCUUGUGGCCCCACCCCCCAUCCUCAAGGUGCGUCACACCAGUCCACAGCUGUCGCCCUGCCCCCUCUUACUACUCACAUCCUGCCUCUCUCUUGUGAUCCCCGCAGGAGGACAGCAGAGCCAGG
This is a long non-coding RNA of Chinchilla lanigera (long-tailed chinchilla), 299 nucleotides long. RefSeq lists it as uncharacterized. The transcript is spliced from 2 exons. NCBI's taxonomy places the organism in Eukaryota, Metazoa, Chordata, Mammalia, Rodentia, Chinchillidae. The record is from RefSeq and is a predicted model, not a curated record.